AGCGGAUUAGGAUAAAUUUUAAGUCUAGUUGACUCAUAAUCAACAGGUUAAUUCGUUU
RNAcentral lists this transfer RNA (58 nucleotides) under Philometroides sanguineus. RNAcentral's name for it is "tRNA-Met". Lineage: Eukaryota; Metazoa; Nematoda; Chromadorea; Rhabditida; Philometridae. The record is from RNAcentral.